This is a long non-coding RNA of Ahaetulla prasina, 799 nucleotides long. RefSeq lists it as uncharacterized. The transcript has 3 exons. The record is from RefSeq and is a predicted model, not a curated record. NCBI's taxonomy places the organism in Eukaryota, Metazoa, Chordata, Lepidosauria, Squamata, Colubridae.
CCCAGAAUGGGAGGGACGGGAGGGCCUGCCGGAUGGAAGGAACUGGAGUCUGGGCCAGAAGUGCGGUUUGAGAAAGCGUCUCAGGCUUGGCCCUCCCUAGUUCUCAGGAAGACAAAGGGAGGAAAGGGAGCCACAUCCCCGGAUGUCUCUGCAAGCUUAUAAUAAAACUAGGUUUAGUAUUCAUGACUUUGGUUUCCUAAUCUGGUCUACCUCGAAGGGCUGACAAUGUGCUGUGGGGGCAAGUAGAGGACACUACGUGUCUCUGCUCUUAAGAGGGGAUUCUGAUACCUAUGAUUUAAGCUGACCUGUUUUUGUCUAAAAUCCGCAUUGUUAUUGAACAUCCUGCAAAAUAAAGUAACCUGGCUGAUUUUGCAGACUUCUUCCUUUGGGAAGAUCACUUUCCCUCCCGUAUUUGAUCAAGACACCAGGGUGGAUCAGGGACCUGGGACAGAUUUCUGCACCCUGGUAAGGCAGGAAGCCAUUUGUCCAGAUAGGGCCUUGUGUAAUCCAUGAAGUUUCGGACUAUGUCACACAAACUAUAUAUUGAGUUAUGUUUCAAUUAGUCAGCCAUAUAAAUUGAAUUAAAGAAGUAAAUAUAAAUAAAUAUACCAAGUCAGGUGGCUUUCAACAUCGUGAAAACGAAUCUUACUUAAGGAGAUAAGGACUGCCUUAUCUCAGCCAUCAUAUAUGACAAAGGAAAUCUGCCUUUUCAUUCUGCUAUAAAAAUACAACUACCACAAUAAUUUCUGAGUUUGGGAACUAAUUACAAUGCCCUUAUUUUCUGUGAAAUAAAAAUAUG